UACGUAGGGUGCGAGCGUUAAUCGGAAUUACUGGGCGUAAAGCGUGCGCAGGCGGUUUUGUAAGCCAGAUGUGAAAUCCCCGGGCUUAACCUGGGAAUGGCAUUUGGGACUGCAAGGCUCGAGUGCGGCAGAGGAGACUGGAAUUCCUGGUGUAGCAGUGAAAUGCGUAGAUAUCAGGAGGAACACCGAUGGCGAAGGCAGGUCUCUGGGCUGACACUGACGCUCAUGCACGAAAGCUAGGGGAGCAAACGGG
RNAcentral lists this ribosomal RNA (253 nucleotides) under uncultured bacterium. RNAcentral describes it as "partial 16S ribosomal RNA". It matches the Rfam family "Bacterial small subunit ribosomal RNA", at positions 524 to 776 of the family's 1533-position model. The record is from RNAcentral.